GAUUGAACGCUGGCGGCAGGCCUAACACAUGCAAGUCGAGCGGAUGAAGGGAGCUUGCUCCUGGAUUCAGCGGCGGACGGGUGAGUAAUGCCUAGGAAUCUGCCUGGUAGUGGGGGAUAACGUCCGGAAACGGGCGCUAAUACCGCAUACGUCCUGAGGGAGAAAGUGGGGGAUCUUCGGACCUCACGCUAUCAGAUGAGCCUAGGUCGGAUUAGCUAGUUGGUGGGGUAAAGGCCUACCAAGGCGACGAUCCGUAACUGGUCUGAGAGGAUGAUCAGUCACACUGGAACUGAGACACGGUCCAGACUCCUACGGGAGGCAGCAGUGGGGAAUAUUGGACAAUGGGCGAAAGCCUGAUCCAGCCAUGCCGCGUGUGUGAAGAAGGUCUUCGGAUUGUAAAGCACUUUAAGUUGGAAGGAAGGGCAGUAAGUUAAUACCUUGCUGUUUUGACGUUACCAACAGAAUAAGCACCGGCUAACUUCGUG
RNAcentral lists this ribosomal RNA (485 nucleotides) under uncultured bacterium. RNAcentral describes it as "partial 16S ribosomal RNA". It matches the Rfam family "Bacterial small subunit ribosomal RNA", at positions 27 to 507 of the family's 1533-position model. The record is from RNAcentral.